UUCAUACUGAGGAUAAGUCCUGCAAUCCCCCUUUCCAAGCAUAGCCCUCCCUCUCUUGAUCACCCUGAGCCAGGCCUCAGCUGCCUUACGGGAUACAGUCAGAUCAGAUGAAGAAUGGAAAACAGAGAUUCUUCCACAUCUUUUUCCAAAGGCGGAGUUCUUAAAGCAUAUCCAAAUUGUCUGACUGCUAGAGAAGAAUUAUAGUUGAUUC
Molecule: long non-coding RNA, 211 nt
Filed under: Lathyrus oleraceus (garden pea)
Lineage: Eukaryota; Viridiplantae; Streptophyta; Magnoliopsida; Fabales; Fabaceae
Description: Pisum sativum (pea) long non-coding RNA (PSAT_LNC024916)
Source: RNAcentral